UACGAAGGGGGCUAGCGUUGUUCGGAGUUACUGGGCGUAAAGGGCGCGUAGGCGGCGCACCAAGUCAGGCGUGAAAGCCCUGGGCUCAACCCGGGAAUUGCGCUUGAGACUGGUGUGCUUGAGUAUGGGAGAGGCGAGUGGAAUUCUUGGUGUAGCGGUGAAAUGCGUAGAUAUCAAGAGGAACACCCAUGGCGAAGGCAGCUCGCUGGCCUAUAACUGACGCUGAGGCGUGAAAGCUGGGGGAGCAAACAGG
This 253-nucleotide ribosomal RNA is filed under the name uncultured bacterium. RNAcentral describes it as "partial 16S ribosomal RNA". It matches the Rfam family "Bacterial small subunit ribosomal RNA", at positions 524 to 776 of the family's 1533-position model. The record is from RNAcentral.